GCUGUGAGAGGCAGCUGCGACUUUCUUGGUUCCUCCAUGGCUUCCCUCAGAGACACUGGCGGUUACCACACCCCGCCGAUUUUCAGUCCUUCACUCUCACUAUCUUCAUCCACGAAUCUUUCAAAUUAAUGGGGAAAUCGUCGCUUUCUCGGUCCGAAUCGCUCUCGCUGCUGGUGGCCAUGAUUGUAAACAAUGUGAGGAUGUGCAGAGCCCUACAACCCGUGACGUCACUUGCACAUCGUCUGCUACUUCCCGUACAGGCAAUGCUUUUUUAUUAGCAACCAAAAGUUGCGAUGGAUGUUCUCUACUAAAUCUUUUCAGCAAAAAUAUGGCAAUAUCACGAAAAUGUUCAAGUAUGACACAUAGAAUGGACCUGCUAUCCCCGUUUAAAUAAGAAAAUCUCACUUCAGUAGGCCUUUUAAGUGAGAAUACCCCAGUGGAAUAUUUUUUUCUGACCGUGCGUGCGUGCGUGCGUGCGUGUGUGUGUGUGUGUGAUCUGGCAAUGCUUACUUAUUUGGGACGUCGCUCUGUUUAGAAAUUUACUUUAGGGGACCUUUGACGUUAUGGGGACAUAAAAAACAGGUCCCCUGAAGGGAAACCUUUUUUAACAAUAAUCAGAUCCAUUCUGAAGAUGCCUAAGUGAUUUUUAAGCUCUUUUUUUUUU
Long non-coding RNA from Nerophis ophidion (straightnose pipefish), 664 nucleotides. RefSeq lists it as uncharacterized. Lineage: Eukaryota; Metazoa; Chordata; Actinopteri; Syngnathiformes; Syngnathidae. The record is from RefSeq and is a predicted model, not a curated record. The transcript has 2 exons.